GAUUCAUGAGAAGAUAUUUAAGUGGCUUCAUAAACAUUCAUAAUCUUUAGAAAUAAAUUAGUGAAUCUUUAG
Molecule: non-coding RNA, 72 nt
Organism: Pangasianodon gigas (Mekong giant catfish)
Lineage: Eukaryota; Metazoa; Chordata; Actinopteri; Siluriformes; Pangasiidae
Source: the annotation of a GenBank genome assembly